UAAAAACCAGAGAGAAACCACAGCAGUGAAUUCUGAACAUUCAGGAAAACAGAGAUGUGCUACCUCUUUUUUUUUUUUUUUUUCCCAAUGUCAUUAUUUUUAGGAAAUGCAAUCACUAAAAUCUUGAUCAAUCAGCAGGUGUUCAUUUUUCAUUUUACCCUGUGACUGGCUUCUGAGAUUCUCCUUCUGAGAAUACUCUAGACCUGAAUCUGCUCAUGCUGAAAUAAAAACAAACGUGACCAGUGACUUCAAUGGCAGAAGAGUUCCAAGCUACCAUUUUAAUUUUUCUGUCAUGUAUUUCAAGCUGCCGAAGUCCAUGUUCAAAUCCGGAGGGAAAAGGAUAGCAGUCAAUGAAAAGUAGCAGGUGCCUCCAACAGGUGGUUCAUCUCAUCCUAAAAUUGGCAUCUAAGAUUACACGAGUGGCCUCUGGACAUCUGUGGCUAGGAGGAAGCAUAGUGUGGGAAUGAAGAGUUUUCUGAGCUCCCUCAGGAGGUUCAAAAUCGAGGAACAUGGAGGCCCUUUGCACCCCUGAUGCUUCAUCCAGUGCAGAAUACAAGCAACGCUCAAUGUUGUCCCAGGGUAGCAAUGGCAGCGCUGCCGUCCAUGCAGGCAGCAGCAGGGGUGGAAGAGGGCCGCGUUGUCUGUCCUGCCUUCUCCCCUCUCUGUACAGCAAGCACUGCUCAGCAUCCAAGGAAACAUAUUUUCAUUAAAUGCAAGAGAAAGAAGGGGAAGGGGUCUUCACUGGAAACUUCCACACAAACCGUUUAUUUCAUGGGCCACCCAUGAGUCAAGUCCUUGGCUGAUGUAGGGGAACAGCAGCUCUGUCUGUGACACAGGGGAUGUCUUUUUAUGCCAGAGUUUAUUCUGCCUUCACAGAGAGCUGUUCUUUGCAGUUGUGCUACCUCCAUACAUUAGGGUCUGUAAUGUGUGCAGCGGUAUGAGGCACCCCACAGCUGUGGGGCAAAUAGCCAUCAAGCCCAGCAUACUGUGUCCACUGGUGGGUGCUUACGGAGAGGAAUAAGGACGUAUAUCAUAUUGUUCCCAGCAAUGACAAAAUUUUCUUGCUAAGCUAAAUGUUGCAGCUGGACCCUUGUGUUUAACAGCCAUAAAAGGACUUAACCACUCUAAAAUAAUCUAUUUCCUUUAUCUAUUUCCUUUUGAAUCACUUACACCUUGGGCUCCACAGUAUCUUUUGGCAAUAUAUUUCAGCUUAAUGACGUACUAUAUGAAAAGUGUUCUUUUAGGUUCAUUUUAAACUAAUGCUUGAUGAUAUCGUCGCAUGCCUACGAGUUCCUAUAUUAUGAGAAACAAAUCAGUACUAUUUUUCUAUUCCUUUCUGCUGCACUAUUUGUGACUUUUAUCUUUAGCUCCUCUUUAUCACUUUUCCAAGGCCAAAAGUUCUCUGUUCAGUUUCCUCCAUUUUGUGAAAGCCCUUCUACACCUUUGAUCAUCUCUGCCUCUCAUCUCUCUCUCUUUUCUGUAGUUUUUCAAGAUUAAGUCAUCAGAACAACAUAGAAUCUUCAAAAUGCAGAUGCACAGAGACUUCUACAGUGGUAUAAUGAAGUCUGCAUUUUAUUCUCAACCCCUUCCCUCAGAUUUCCUAACAUUCACUUUGCCUUUCUCAUCACCACUCAAUAUGAGCCAGUGUUUUCCGAAAACUACCCACAGUGUCUCCAGCAUCUCUUUCAUGACUGAUAUCAACACUUCAGAAGCAUCAUUACGUAUGUGUAGGUAGGUUUAUUUUUUCCCCCACAACUCUCUUUGCACUAAUUGACACUGAAUUUCAUCUGCCAUUUUAAUGCUGUAUAAUUCAGCUCCCUGAGAUCCUCCUGUAGCCCGUCACAGUUGGCUCUGGAGUUGGCUCUCCUGAAUGUUUUGUUACCUGCAAGCUGUGGCACUUGUGGGCCUCUCCCAUCUGGGGUUGGUUAGGAGCAGAGGGGACAGCAGAGGUGCCAGCACAGACCCUGCCAUUGCUGUGAAUUUGGCCCCUGCUCUUCUUCAUCUCUAUACAGAGGAGGCUGGGUUUCCGCAGGGGGUCAGUGGAGGCUUGCACAGUCAGUGGAGACAACAAAAGGGAAAGCGGAGCUCACGGCAUGUGGGCUGCAAGAGGAGCUGUCACGUAUUGCAUGCACACAACGGGCAUUUUAUGGCCUCAUUAAAGUCAAUGGGAGCUUGCCAUCUGCUUCAGCAGGGGCAGCAUCAAGGUAUAAAAAUAUUACUGUUUAGAUGGUGCUUUUUCCUGAGCAUGGCUGAUCCUUGCCAUGACCCCUGAACUAGGUAUGAGUUAUCACUUCUGUAUUUCAGGACAGAAAGCAGAAACCGAGAUAAACACAGAAAUUUCAAAGAUCAUGAGUCUCUCAUCUGGCCAUAUGUGUCUGAGCGGAGGGAAUGAGCAGCAGAUGAGGGAAUGCUUGGCAACCUGUCUUAUGUGACAUCCCCCAUCAGCAGGUCUCUAUUUCUGUCUGACUUUAUGAUCUCUUUUUCUCAAUCUUGCAACUCCAACACUUCACAGCAAGCUGGGAGUCUGCCGGGAAGGUUCUGAGCUAACUAGGUGACAGCGAUAGUGAGACACAAUUGCAGAAGCUGUAAUAAGCAGUAUUGAUUUUGAAUAAACAUGUGAGUAAUAUUGACUUGGAGAAGCUGUCUCUUAACAAGUGGAAGGACUGACUAGCUCCAAAGGAUGGAGAAAUGGAAGUCCCUUUCUGGAACUAGGUAAGGCAGGUUCCAGUCACAGAUCUGAAAGCAUAGUCUAUUUCCAGCAUCCUUUUUCUUAGUCCUGUUGGUGGAUAAAGGUGUAUGAACCACAGCGCUUUGUAAAUGAAUGAGGAAUAAAGAAAGUGGUUUAGAUAGAUUGGUAGGAGAAGGGGGCAGUGAACAGAGCAGUGUAAGUGAGUGAUGAACUAGCCACGGUCUAGUGCUUGAGAAGUGGUUGACAUCUGAAUGAUACAGAAAUGUUAAAGAGAAAGACAAGAAAGCUUUUGGUGGAGCAUAGCUGUGGGAAGCUGGGAAAGACAAGCAGUGAAAACUUGGGACUGUGAUUUUCCAUCCAUGGUUGACAAGGUCCCUUCAGAAUCAAUGGAGAGGUGCCAUGGGCUCAGUGGACUUUGAAUUAGGUCCACAAUCACGAGAUAUUAGCUCUGAACCUGAUCAGGUAGAACCGAGAUUAAUCAAAUGAUACACAAUGGAAAAUGGUCACAUUGACAUCUCAUGCCUUGAACAAAGGGGAAGUACCUUAACACUUCCCUUUCUUGAUAAGCAGCUUCCAGAUCUUUGAGUCAAGGAUCCAGCUCUCACCUCUGAGAUUCGCUUGUGUUAACUCCCUGUCCUGGCAGACAGCCAUAGAAGUGUUUCUGUCCUGGGUGGUGCUGUAAAAUAACUUUAGACCACUCACCCAAGCCCCAGAGAUCACCAGUGACCCAUGGAUCUCAAUAUGAGACCCAGCCACCCUGACAUCCCAUGGAUAUGUGGAUUAUAAUAUGUGCAGUAAUGCUACAGAAGCCUUGCACAGAAAUAAAGAGGUUGAGCUCCUUUGCAUAAAAUCACACAGAAAGGAAAAGUAGGGCAUCUGGGAGGCAAAACCCCCCGUUUAUAACAACUCCCUAGUUGCUCUUUCUGUACGGCAGCAAGAAGGCUGCUGUAUGCAACAGGGGUCUGCUGAAAUGAGAGCAUUCCUUCCACACAUGCAUAUGCAAAGAUUAAAGAGAAAGCUUUGAAACGUUUUCAGAAAAGGGGUCAAUUAUGUAGAUUUUACGUGGCUUGUUAUUAAGGCCAAAAUUCACAUUGUUUUCACAAGGGCUGGAGGAUACCAAGGCAAAGAUGCAACGGCCAGAGUCCAGAUUUGCCAGGAAGAAGGGAGGGAGAAUCAAAACAUUGUUAAUUAUACCCUCUCAAGAAAGGACUCAUGGUGCUAGGAAUUCACCCCAAGAGGGUAAUUUCAGGGCUACAAGUUGUAAUACAUAUUAUUGUUGGUCUAAGCAGGAGCAGCCAGGAACUCUGACUGUGGCAUAUCCAGUAGCUUUUGCAGGGGACCCUACUCCUAAUGUAAAGAGCCUAUUCUGGGGAAUAUGAUAUCCUUCCCCCAGCCUAUCUGAAGUCUUCAGCACCAAUACAAUAAUGCGUUGAAACAAAACUGGUCAACAAUUAUUUCCUUGGACUUUUCAAACUCUUUGACGAAGUUUCUUACAAAGGCUGUCAAGGAAACCUGAGGCAUUUGGUGAAAGGUAAAGUAUUGUGUCAUUGAUUAAAAAACUGGCCAGGACAAAAAACGGAGCAGGAAUGACUAGUUAGUUAUUACAAUGCCAAAAGCCUAACAAAAGGCUAUCAGAGUGAACAUAUCAGCCAUCUUUUCAUGCAUAAAUAAAAGGCUUCAUUUAGAGGAAUUAAGACUAUUAUAUUUCUUUUAUAUCCAACUAAAAUUCCAGAAGUAUUACUUUUCUCAGUAUCUUACACAUACAUAGGUUAUUAGAAGGUUACUGGAAAUAAAGAAAGUACUGAAAUAAAGAAAAAGAUGGGUUUUUUAAUUCCUUGUCCAGGCUUUGAUGCAUUUAUUGAGUCUGGGAAGGAAGGCUGGGUCUUGGUGUUGGAAAAGUGCCUUUGUGUUCAUGGUUUCCACAGCGCAAAAACGAGAAUGGAGAAUGGGUGGGAAUGAUCAACACUUUAUACCUGGACCAAAAAUUCACUGUAGGUAAUCACUAUAUUUGCAUGGUAACUGGACACUAACAAAAAUUUAAAAUCCCAGUAACGCAGCUUGCUGUUCCACAGCUGAUUACAAAGUGAUCAUAUAAAAUAAUUUUUCAAUGGAAAAGCAGCUUUAAAGACAAUGAACAAGUAUCACUUUCCAGGAGAAAAUAGCCAGUUUUCUCAAAAACCUAAAACAUUUGGGCCCAGAUAGUGUUUUCCAGAGAAAAUUGUGGCAUCUUGUCACGUACACAACUUACAUGAGAGGGGAAAACAUUUUCUGAUCAGCUUUGUAGAUCCUAUUAUUCCCGACUUCUUAGCAUGAAUUAGCUAUGAGCACAGAAACGAUGGGGUAGUGGUAUAGCACUUUUCUUCUAGACAUGUCAAAACAUUUUACAAAGGCGUUGAUGUCGCUUUAGCAUAGGAAGACUGAUGAGAUGGAAAGCUGAGGGAGGAACCUAAAGGCAGCAUAAGGCCCUGGAAGGGAACCUGCACAUCCUAACUCCCCAUGCAAGUGCCCUUUCCAGUAAAUUGUGGGGUAUGUUAUUAUCACAUGAAAAUCUCUCAGCUGAUCUUUCCGAGUUGGCAAAAAGAGGCAAUGAAUAGUCACAAUGGGAAAGCUAACUCUGACUUUUUCUAAAGAGGAAAAGUAUAGGACUGCCCAUUUAUCUCUGAAUUGAAUCGAAGACUAUACAACUCUGCGUGAGCAUUGUUAUUUUCCUUUAUCAGCAAGGCAUUGUUUUGUUGCAUGAAAUCUGUAUGUUCAAUAGAUUUGAUUUUCCAAGCAGCUGGGUUAUCUUGCGCUGUGAAGGCUCUCUCUUAAUCUCAAUUGCUGUGCUUUUCUCAGCGCCGUUCCCAGCUGCUCAGAAAUGAGCACAGCGCUUUCAUCCUUCUUUUCGCGCUCUUAUUAGGUGUGACAGUUUCAACAAUACCCGUAUGUAGAAAAAUAUGCAGGCUUUAAUUUGGUUUUUUAAAAUGUGAUUGUCAAAAAAUACAGGCAGAAAGAUGUUGCUUUUAAAUAAUAAGAAGUCCUGCCAUGAUCACAGAAUAAUGAUGUAUUUCCUUAGAAAGAUGGGAGGAUUUUUUUUCAGUUUGCUCUAACAUAUAAUUGCAGCCAAACCUUAUUUAUCCUCAGGAGACAAGAGAACAGAAAAGAGGUGAAAUAUGCAGAGUUGGGCCAUAGGUGCUUUUCAAGUGAUGGUGACACACAAUUAAGAUUAAUGUAUGUAUCUGAUCAUUUGCUUUCUGGUAAAUGUCUUUUGAGAGACCA
This is a non-coding RNA of Phalacrocorax carbo (great cormorant), 5947 nucleotides long. NCBI's taxonomy places the organism in Eukaryota, Metazoa, Chordata, Aves, Suliformes, Phalacrocoracidae. The record is from RefSeq and is a predicted model, not a curated record.